CUGACAACGCUGGUCUCCCGCUUUCUGGGUUUCGGUCCACACUCGCCCGGGGGUCAGAUCCCACCGCCUCACCAGUUUGGAGGCUGCGUCACUCCCCACCCCUGCCAAGCGCCUCGGAGGAAGUUGUGCGGGUUCUUCUCUCUACUCCUGCAAAAAGAAACCCAUGGGGAGAUCUAGUAGGACUAUUCCUGUCUUUCCUAAAACUCAUUCCUGAAGAAGAAAGCAGGAGCCGCCUCUCAGAAGCAAAGCUUUAAAUCAGAGAUUUCCAAGCAUUACUCUAGAACUCAGAAACAGGGAUGAAGUUUUCAUCAUGCAUUAAGAGAAAAUAAGGUCAUGCGGUCUCCAACUGCUCCUGCUGUCUGUUUGCUUCUUCUGGCUGUCCUAUCAGAGCAACUGUUCUGAAUUCCUGGGAGAA
Long non-coding RNA from Hyaena hyaena (striped hyena), 415 nucleotides. RefSeq lists it as uncharacterized. The record is from RefSeq and is a predicted model, not a curated record. The transcript has 3 exons. Lineage: Eukaryota; Metazoa; Chordata; Mammalia; Carnivora; Hyaenidae.